GCUCAGAUUGAACGCUGGCGGCAUGCCUUACACAUGCAAGUCGAACGGUAACAGGUUAAGCUGACGAGUGGCGAACGGGUGAGUAAUAUAUCGGAACGUGCCCAGUCGUGGGGGAUAACUGCUCGAAAGAGCAGCUAAUACCGCAUACGACCUGAGGGUGAAAGCGGGGGAUCGCAAGACCUCGCGCGAUUGGAGCGGCCGAUAUCAGAUUAGGUAGUUGGUGGGGUAAAAGCCCACCAAGCCAACGAUCUGUAGCUGGUCUGAGAGGACGACCAGCCACACUGGGACUGAGACACGGCCCAGACUCCUACGGGAGGCAGCAGUGGGGAAUUUUGGACAAUGGACGCAAGUCUGAUCCAGCCAUGCCGCGUGCGGGAAGAAGGCCUUCGGGUUGUAAACCGCUUUUGUCAGGGAAGAAACGCUCUGGGUUAAUACCUCGGGGUAA
This 445-nucleotide ribosomal RNA is filed under the name Pelomonas sp. IGS125. RNAcentral's name for it is "bacterial SSU rRNA". It matches the Rfam family "Bacterial small subunit ribosomal RNA", at positions 22 to 470 of the family's 1533-position model. Lineage: Bacteria; Pseudomonadati; Pseudomonadota; Betaproteobacteria; Burkholderiales; Sphaerotilaceae. The record is from RNAcentral.